Non-coding RNA from Gossypium raimondii (Peruvian cotton), 148 nucleotides. The record is from Rfam. NCBI's taxonomy places the organism in Eukaryota, Viridiplantae, Streptophyta, Magnoliopsida, Malvales, Malvaceae.
UAUUAAAAAAAUGAUUCAUUUCUAUUGUAAAAAAAAACUAACAUGGCUGACAGAGUACACAAACAAUGAUACGUGGCAUGCUACGUGUACCUCAUGCUAACGUACAAAGACCAGUUUUUAAUAGCAGAAAUAGAUAGAAUUUUUAAUA